This 347-nucleotide ribosomal RNA is filed under the name uncultured eukaryote. Its description in RNAcentral is "SSU rRNA". It matches the Rfam family "Eukaryotic small subunit ribosomal RNA", at positions 594 to 945 of the family's 1831-position model. The record is from RNAcentral.
AUAGCGUAUAUUAAAGUUGUUGCAGUUAAAAAGCUCGUAGUUGAACUUCAGACCUGGUCGGGCGGUCCGCCUCACGGUGUGUACUGUCUGACUGGGCCUUACCUCUUGGUGAGCCGGCGUGCCCUUUAUUGGUGUGCGUUGGGGAACCAGGACUUUUACCUUGAGAAAAUUAGAGUGUUCAAAGCAGGCUUAUGCCUGAAUACAUUAGCAUGGAAUAAUAAAAUAGGACGUGUGGUUCUAUUUUGUUGGUUUCUAGAGUCGCCGUAAUGAUUAAUAGGGAUAGUUGGGGGCAUUGGUAUUGAGUCGCUAGAGGUGAAAUUCUUGGAUUGACUCAAGACCAACUACUG